Molecule: non-coding RNA, 86 nt
Organism: PVC group bacterium
Lineage: Bacteria; Pseudomonadati
Source: Rfam
AGGAAAGUGGCAGAGUUGGUUAAUUGUGCUUGAUUGUAGUCCAAGUCCUUAUCAGAGGUACGUAGGUUCAAAUCCUAUCUUUCCUA